This 494-nucleotide ribosomal RNA is filed under the name uncultured bacterium. RNAcentral's name for it is "partial 16S ribosomal RNA". It matches the Rfam family "Bacterial small subunit ribosomal RNA", at positions 28 to 507 of the family's 1533-position model. The record is from RNAcentral.
GACGAACGCUGGCGGCGUGCUUAACACAUGCAAGUCGAACGGAAAGGCCUGCUUUCCCUUGUGGAUUGCGGGUACUCGAGUGGCGAACGGGUGAGUAACACGUGAGUGAUCUGCCCCCAACUUGGGUAUAAGCCUGGGAAACUGGGUCUAAUUCCCGAUAGGACUGCAGGGUGGUGCCUGUGGUGGAAAACGAUUUUCUAGUGGUUGGGGAUGAGCUCGCGGCCUAUCAGCUUGUUGGUGGGGUAAUGGCCUACCAAGGCGGCGACGGGUAGCCGGCCUGAGAGGGUGGACGGCCACAUUGGGACUGAGAUACGGCCCAGACUCCUACGCAAGGCAGCAGUGGGGAAUAUUGCACAAGGGGCGGAAGCCUGAUGCAGCGACGCCGAGUGGGGGAUGACGGCCUUCGGGUUGUAAACUCCUUUCGACCGCGAGGAAGCCACCUGGUUGGAAGGGUGGUGACGGUAGUGGGAGAAGAAGCACCGGCUAACUACGUG